AGCCGGCUCAGUGCCAGGGGCCCGCGAGCAGCAGAAUGUCACUCCUGUUUGGCUCUAGUCUCCCUCCAGGAUGCCUGUCCCCUGGCCACCUGUUGGCCUCCUAGUAUAUACGGUUCCAGUUCCUGCUGGCAGUUCUGUGGGAAUUCAGAGCCAGUGCUGAAGAAGAGCCUCCCCAGGGACUGAGGUGUCCUCUGCCUCACACUGUCACCCCGCAAACGGCUUGCCUCAUACCUGAAAUCCGGCUGCCGGUGCCCAAAGCUCAGAGUGUCAGCCUCGCUGAGGCUGGAUCGGGGGCUCUGUGGACAUGCCCGAGACGGCAGGCGCGGGGAGCGUGCAUGGAUAAACAAACUGAAGCUUAAAGAAUUGAUAGAAGUCGGUGAAGGUGAACGAUGAGGAAGCUCAGGUCUGAUGGAUGCCAAGACCCCUGGACCAGGACAUACAGGCCCCAGGCGUCUGCAGUGCCUGACUGAGAUCUCAGUGGGUUCCCUUAAGGACACUGUGACAUGUGCCACCACCAUCUCACUCCACGGAGAGCCAGCCUGAAGCCCCCAGCACAGAGCCUGGUUCAGUGGGCACCCGUUAGACCUUUGAAGAACGGAUGAUUGAAUGCUGUGUUAAUUUCCUAGAGCUGCUGUAACAAAGCGCCACAAACAAGGUGGCUUAAAAACAGCAGAAACUUGCUUUCUCACAAUUCUGGAGGUCAGAAGUCCAAAAUCAAGGUGUCGGCACAGUCAUGCUCCCCUGACGACUGUAGGCAGGGUCCUUCCUUGCCUCUUCCACCUUCUGGGGGUGACUAGCAGGCCUUGGAAGUCCUUGGCUCGUAGAUGCAUCACCAGUCUCCGCCUCUGUCUUUGAGGAGCCCUCUCCCUGUGUCAGCCUGUGUCUCCUCUCGCUCUUACAAGCACACCAGUCACAUUGGAUUAGGUCCCACCCCAAUGACCUCAUCUCAACUUGACCACAUCUGCAAAGACCUUAUUUCGAAAUAAGGUCCCAUGCACAGGCACAGGAGUUAGGACUUCAACAUAGCCUUUUGAGGGACACAAUUCAACCCAUAAUAAUUGUCAAGGGCAAUUUGCUUGUGGUUUGACUUUCAAUUAAAAUUAAAGCUCGCAGGUUUGGUUUGUCCAGCGAGUGAAAGGUUGGCAGCAUUUAUGAGGUGGUGUCGCCUUACACUCUGCAGAGAUGUACUUGUUUCACCCGUGACUCCUUUCCUUUUUAUUAGUCCAUCAGUGAUGCUUUUGUGGUCACAGUAAUGACAGUGUUUACUCCAGGCUUAAGUGCCUGUGCUCCUCGCUCUCUCUUUCAUGUUAGGUGUUAAAAUGGAAUAUUAACUUGGAAUAUAGCCUCUCCUUCCUGUGCAGUGGCAAGAAGCAUUCUAAAGUCAAAAUAAGUCAAGCUGACCUCGCAUUCCUUUUUUUUCUUUCUAUUUUUUCUCCCCAAAUGCCCCCAGUGCAUAGUUGUAUAUUUUAGUUGUGGGUCCUUCUAGUCGUGUCAUGUGGGAUGCUGCCUCAACGUGGUUCCAGUAGUGCCAUAGUCCAUGCCCAGGAUCCGAACCAGUGAAACCCUGGGCCGCCAGAGCGGAGCACACGAACUUAACCACUCGGCCGUGGGGCCGGCCCCUGACCUCACAUUCUAACUGACGUCCAAACUCCUCUGCCUGGGCCUUAAGCCUUAAGCCCAGCCCCAACUCUCCUUUCCUGCUGCCGCUCCUCCUUUCGCACACUCUUGGGGCUCCACGCACACUGCUGCUUCCUCUUCCUGGAAAUACCCCUUGGACUUUCACAUUCACACCUUUGCUGUAUCGUACCUGGAGUCCCCUUCCUGUAUCCAGCUCUUCCUGUUCAAAUUCCACCCAAUCUCUCAGGCCAAGUUCAAAGGCCACCUCCUCCAGGAAGCUUUCCCUGAUCCUCCAGCUUCCUGCUCAGAAGGCCAGUGGCCCUGGUCGGCCUUCACUUAAGGCACUGACCACACACUGUUCCAGUCUGAAGCAAAUUUAUGUCUUUCCCCCAUUCCCUCUACUCCUACUAAAGAGUAAUGAAGAAAAGUCUAGAGGCCACUUAUUUAAGAAAUGGCUGAGGUUGCUGGGGAUGUUCGCUUGGAAAAAAGAAUACAUCCAGGGAGGCAGGUGCCCCAAGCUUCCUUCAAGGGCUCAGAUUCUAUCAGACUAGGAGCUCCUUGUGGAAAAUACACCUGGGCCUCUUCAGAGGUCCUUUAUACACACACACACACACACAAACACCUGUGCCUAGCACAGAGCAGGGCUCCAAUAUAACCUCCUGCCCAAUGGAAAAGUUCUCUCUUUUGCACACUUUUCAGGUGGUGUGGUAAGCAGAAUUCUAAGAUGGCCCCCAAGACUUCCCGCACCCCAGGUGUGCCUGCCCUGAGUAAUCCCUGGGACUGUGAAGAUGAUGGUUUCACUCCUGUGAUUAGGUCAGGAUAUACGGCCCAGUUGACGUUAAAAUAGAGAGAGUAUCUGAGUGGGCCUGUCCUCAUCACCGGAGCCCUUUAAAAGCAGAGUUUCCUCCAGCUGGUCACAAAAGGGGAAGUCAAAGCAUGAGAGGGAUGUGACUCGGGGGAGGUCCUCCAGGGCUAAGGUGGAGGGGCCACAUGACAAGGACCUGAGAGUGGCCUCUAGGUGCUGAGAGCAGUUCCCAACCACCAGCCAGCAAGACAACAGGCACUCAGUCCUACAACCAUAAGGAAGUGAAUUCGACCAACAACUGAGGAAGCUGGGAAGAGGGUCUUUCCCUAGUCGGAGCCUCCAGAUGAGGACAUGGUUGGCCAACAUCUUGGUUUCAGCCUCAUGAGACCCUGAGCAGGGGGAACGGCUAAAAUUUGCUGGACUCUUGACCCAUGGAAACCAUGAGCUAAUAAAUGGGUGUUAUGUUAA
Long non-coding RNA from Equus asinus (donkey), 2890 nucleotides. The record is from Ensembl. NCBI's taxonomy places the organism in Eukaryota, Metazoa, Chordata, Mammalia, Perissodactyla, Equidae.